Molecule: ribosomal RNA, 409 nt
Filed under: uncultured bacterium
Lineage: Bacteria
Description: bacterial SSU rRNA
Rfam family: Bacterial small subunit ribosomal RNA
Source: RNAcentral
GUGCCAGCAGCUGCGGUAAUACGAAGGGUGCAAGCGUUACUCGGAAUUACUGGGCGUAAAGCGUGCGUAGGCGGUUUGUUAAGUCAGAUGUGAAAGCCCCGGGCUCAACCUGGGAAUGGCAUUUGAUACUGGCGAGCUAGAGUACGGUAGAGGGUGGUGGAAUUCCCGGUGUAGCGGUGAAAUGCGUAGAGAUCGGGAGGAACAUCUGUGGCGAAGGCGGCCACCUGGACCAGUACUGACGCUCAUGCACGAAAGCGUGGGGAGCAAACAGGAUUAGAUACCCUGGUAGUCCACGCCGUANACGAUGAUCACUCGUUGUUGGCGAUACACAGUCNGCGACCAAGGGAAACCGAUNAGUGAUCCACCUGGGAAGUACGAUCGCAAGGUUGAAACUCANAUGAAUUGACGG